This 426-nucleotide ribosomal RNA is filed under the name uncultured Chlamydiae bacterium. Its description in RNAcentral is "bacterial SSU rRNA". It matches the Rfam family "Bacterial small subunit ribosomal RNA", at positions 958 to 1385 of the family's 1533-position model. Lineage: Bacteria; Pseudomonadati; Chlamydiota; Chlamydiia. The record is from RNAcentral.
AACGCGAAGAACCUUACCCAGGCUCGAAAUGUAAUGGACAAUACCAGAGAUGGUAUGUUCCGCAAGGACUGUUAUAUAGGUGCUGCAUGGCUGUCGUCAGCUCGUGCCGUGAGGUGUUGGGUUAAGUCCCGCAACGAGCGCAACCCUUAUCAUUAGUUGCCAACACGUAAGGUGGGGACUCUAAUGAGACUGCCUGGGUUAACCAGGAGGAAGGUGAGGAUGAUGUCAAGUCCGCAUGGCCUUUAUGUCUGGGGCUACACACGUGCUACAAUGGUCGGUACAGAAGGCAGCAAGACCGCAAGGUGGAGCAAAUCCGAAAAGCCGAUCUCAGUUCAGAUUGUAGUCUGCAACUCGACUACAUGAAGUUGGAAUUGCUAGUAAUGACGUGUCAGCAACAACGUCGUGAAUACGUUCCCGGGCCUUGUA